This 1506-nucleotide ribosomal RNA is filed under the name metagenome. RNAcentral's name for it is "bacterial SSU rRNA". It matches the Rfam family "Bacterial small subunit ribosomal RNA". The record is from RNAcentral.
AGAGUUUGAUCAUGGCUCAGGACGAACGCUGGCAGCGUGCCUAAUACAUGCAAGUAGAACGCUGAAGAGAGGAGCUUGCUCUUCUUGGAUGAGUUGCGAACGGGUGAGUAACGCGUAGGUAACCUGCCUUGUAGCGGGGGAUAACUAUUGGAAACGAUAGCUAAUACCGCAUAACAAUGGAUGACCCAUGUCAUUUAUUUGAAAGGGGCAAAUGCUCCACUACAAGAUGGACCUGCGUUGUAUUAGCUAGUAGGUGAGGUAACGGCUCACCUAGGCGACGAUACAUAGCCGACCUGAGAGGGUGAUCGGCCACACUGGGACUGAGACACGGCCCAGACUCCUACGGGAGGCAGCAGUAGGGAAUCUUCGGCAAUGGGGGCAACCCUGACCGAGCAACGCCGCGUGAGUGAAGAAGGUUUUCGGAUCGUAAAGCUCUGUUGUAAGUCAAGAACGAGUGUGAGAGUGGAAAGUUCACACUGUGACGGUAGCUUACCAGAAAGGGACGGCUAACUACGUGGCAGCAGCCGCGGUAAUACGUAGGUCCCGAGCGUUGUCCGGAUUUAUUGGGCGUAAAGCGAGCGCAGGCGGUUUGAUAAGUCUGAAGUUAAAGGCUGUGGCUCAACCAUAGUUCGCUUUGGAAACUGUCAAACUUGAGUGCAGAAGGGGAGAGUGGAAUUCCAUGUGUAGCGGUGAAAUGCGUAGAUAUAUGGAGGAACACCGGUGGCGAAAGCGGCUCUCUGGUCUGUAACUGACGCUGAGGCUCGAAAGCGUGGGGAGCGAACAGGAUUAGAUACCCUGGUAGUCCACGCCGUAAACGAUGAGUGCUAGGUGUUGGAUCCUUUCCGGGAUUCAGUGCCGCAGCUAACGCAUUAAGCACUCCGCCUGGGGAGUACGACCGCAAGGUUGAAACUCAAAGGAAUUGACGGGGGCCCGCACAAGCGGUGGAGCAUGUGGUUUAAUUCGAAGCAACGCGAAGAACCUUACCGGGUCUUGACAUCCCGAUGCUAUUUCUAGAGAUAGAAAGUUACUUCGGUACAUCGGUGACAGGUGGUGCAUGGUUGUCGUCAGCUCGUGUCGUGAGAUGUUGGGUUAAGUCCCGCAACGAGCGCAACCCCUAUUGUUAGUUGCCAUCAUUCAGUUGGGCACUCUAGCGAGACUGCCGGUAAUAAACCGGAGGAAGGUGGGGAUGACGUCAAAUCAUCAUGCCCCUUAUGACCUGGGCUACACACGUGCUACAAUGGUUGGUACAACGAGUUGCGAGUCGGUGACGGCAAGCUAAUCUCUUAAAGCCAAUCUCAGUUCGGAUUGUAGACUGCAACUCGCCUACAUGAAGUCGGAAUCGCUAGUAAUCGCGGAUCAGCACGCCGCGGUGAAUACGUUCCCGGGCCUUGUACACACCGCCCGUCACACCACGAGAGUUUGUAACACCCGAAGUCGGUGAGGUAACCUUUUGGAGCCAGCCGCCUAAGGUGGGAUAGAUGAUUGGGGUGAAGUCGUAACAAGGUA